GACGAACGCUGGCGGCGUGCUUAACACAUGCAAGUCGAACGGAAAGGCCCUGCUUUUGUGGGGUGCUCGAGUGGCGAACGGGUGAGUAACACGUGAGUAACCUGCCCUUGACUUUGGGAUAACUUCAGGAAACUGGGGCUAAUACCGGAUAGGAGCUCCUGCUGCAUGGUGGGGGUUGGAAAGUUUCGGCGGUUGGGGAUGGACUCGCGGCUUAUCAGCUUGUUGGUGGGGUAGUGGCUUACAAAGGUUUUGACGGGUAGCCGGCCUGAGAGGGUGACCGGCCACAUUGGGACUGAGAGACGGCCCAGACUCCUACGUGAGGCAGCAGUGGGGAAUAUUGCACAAUGGGCGGAAGCCUGAUGCAGCAACGCCGCGUGCGGGAUGACGGCCUUCGGGUUGUAAACCGCUUUCGCCUGUGACGAAGCGUGAGUGACGGUAAUGGGUAAAGAAGCACCGGCUAACUACGUG
This 468-nucleotide ribosomal RNA is filed under the name uncultured bacterium. Its description in RNAcentral is "partial 16S ribosomal RNA". It matches the Rfam family "Bacterial small subunit ribosomal RNA", at positions 28 to 507 of the family's 1533-position model. The record is from RNAcentral.